UCUCGGCUUAUCACCGGCAGUCCCCCUAGAGUGCCCAACUGAAUGAUGGCAACUAGGGGCGAGGGUUGCGCUCGUUGCGGGACUUAACCCAACAUCUCACGACACGAGCUGACGACAGCCAUGCAGCACCUGUCUCGCGAUUCCCGAAGGCACCCGGGCAUUUCUGCCCAGUUCCGCGGAUGUCAAGGCCAGGUAAGGUUCUUCGCGUUGCAUCGAAUUGAACCACAUGCUCCACCGCUUGUGCGGGUCCCCGUCAAUUCCUUUGAGUUUUAAUCUUGCGACCGUACUCCCCAGGCGGGAAGCUUAAUGCGUUAGCUGCGCCACCGACAAGUAAACUUGCCGACAGCUGGCUUCCAUCGUUUACGGCGUGGACUAC
RNAcentral lists this unclassified non-coding RNA (376 nucleotides) under uncultured Alphaproteobacteria bacterium. Its description in RNAcentral is "contains 16S-23S intergenic spacer region". The record is from RNAcentral. Lineage: Bacteria; Pseudomonadati; Pseudomonadota; Alphaproteobacteria.